GGGGAAUGGUGUGUAGUUCCUUAUCUUCUAGCCUCUUUUGGGCAUCUUUUCCUCUGGGACUCUUUUGACUACCCCGAACUCCUCCCCUCUUCAGACUGCGUUAAAAUUCCCUCGUGUAUAUUUCCCUAGCACCCUGUGCUUAUCCUUGUAACAUUCCUCAUCACACUGAAUUAUAAUUGUCUGUUAACUUUAUCUCCUCCGCUAGAGUGUAAACGUGUUAGGAGGGUACUAAAAUAUCAUCUCCUGUGGUGUAUCCCAGGAUUAACAAAGUGUCUCACACAGUUAUUUAGUCUUACCUCUUUGGGGGGAAGGGAAGGAGAGGAGGGAGCUUGCAGGUGAGACCUGACAGCGUUUUUACCUGGGCGCCUGAAUGGAAGAAUGGAAGUAUUCAUUGCUAUUCAUUGUUAGCUAAUACUUAGUUGUCUGGGAGAGAAGAGAGUUUGGUUUGUUUUGGUUUUCUAGAAAGUUGUAUUUUUUGGCCUAUUGUACUAGUAAAAUACAGUGCCUUAAUAUCAAGUGCCUUGCAUUUAUCAAGAAACUGAAAGAGCUAGACACCCCAUAUAAUAUCACCAUAGGGAGAAAACACCGAGGCAACUUUAAAAACAUAGAUCAGCUAGCCAUUUUUACUUUGACCCUUUUGAAAAGCAUAGCCGAUAGAGAACUGAUUUUUUUCAUACCAGUUUUGUGUAUUUUACUAAAUACAUGUCCCAAUGUAGAUGGACAUCAAGGACACUGCCGUGAAAGGUGUGGCCCAUCAAAACUAACGCUGCAUUCUCAUGGAGUUGAGUUUCAGAUGUCAGAAAUCUGAGAUUCAUUAGCAUCAGAGUUGAACAGAUAGGGAUCAGGGCUGGGGAACAAAAGCUGGAAGUAAAAUUAAACAUAAUUAAAGACUUAAAAAGAAGUUUGAAUUAAAAAGUACAUGCAACUUGAGGUAAAUUAUGCCUUCUGCCUAAGCACAGAUGAAAAGACAUAUUAAUUAGUUUUUUGGAGCUUUUUCCUCUCUGAAAAUCUAUUGUCUUGCUAAGCGAUAUUGGGAUAAUAUGGUUUCCAGUUAUUGAAGAUCCCAUAAAGAAUUGUUUUAGUGCUUGUAGAUUUUUCUUAGUUGAAAUAAGGUUAUGCUUGGACUCGAUGGCCUUCCCCUUACAUGAUGGUGCUUUCAGUGUGUUCUUGGAAACUCUAUCUAGCUUCUUUGCUCUGAUUUUCGUGUGCUUCUGGAAUGAAGAGGAAAUGGGGGAGGGAAAGGGAGAGAGAAACAAAUGUAAGUUGGACCCAGAUCAGUGAGAUAGUAUCAGUUGAGGCCAAAAUGCAUUUGGCAGAUCCUCUUCUCAUGUUCCCAGGCUAGGGAUCUAAUCUGAGCUGUUGUUGCUGGCCUAUGCCACAGCCACAGCAACGCCAGAUCCAAGCCGUGUCUGUGAUCUACACCACAGCUCACGGCAACACCGGAUCUUUAACCCACUGAGCAAGGCCAGGGAUCACACCUGCAACCUCUUGGUUCCUAGUCGGAUUUGUUUCCGAUGAGCCACGAUGGGAACUCCAGUAGCUGCUUUUUAAGCACAGAAAUGAAAGUGUGGAAGGCAGAGAUGGUGGAAGGUGUAUUAUCUUUAGAGUCAUUUCAGUAUGAGUUUGAAUCCUCAUUUUGCCACAUUUUGUACAACUUCAGCACAUUAAUCGGGCUUGCUUUCCUUGUAUGUAAAAAGGGCAUGUUAAUUUCUAGAUCUUUGUUAAGAUAGUAAGUGGAUUUAACGGCACCUCAAAGGCACUCAAUAAAUAGUAGCUGUUUAAAAAGGGUCUUAUUUACUGGAAAAAAGCGGGGGGGAGCUCAGUAAUUCUUAGGGACAAAUAGUAAAUUUCUUAUCAAACAUUCUUGUUAAUGUCAGCUAGGCAUUUUAUUCUCACGAUGUUCAAUUUAGGUAUGAAUAGUAGCCCUUUCCCUGGUGUCUGUAUGUAUAUAUGACACCCAAAGAUGGAAAAAUCGGGAGUGGGGGGGCACUUAAACUUGUAUAGAUAAAGCAGUCCAGUAGCAGGUGGUCAUAAGUAUUUAAUGAAGCAUUAUGAAUAUUGAAUGGAAGGUUAAGGGAUCCCAUAUUUUAUUUCUCAUGGUAUGUAGGUCACUGCUGAAAACCGAGAAUUAGCUUUGAAAAAAAAUUUCAAAAGAAAUACAUGCUUAUCUCCUAUGUAUCUCGUAUGUAAUUACAUAUGAAAUAUAUUUCAUGUGCCUUACAUCAAUAGAUAUUGAUACAAAGUUGUCUCUCAGUCCCUUGGUAUCGAGGAGAGAUGGCUUCCAAGUCUUCCACAGAGAGCACAAUAGGUGGGUGCUCAACUCCCUGAUAUAAAAUGGUGUAGUAUUUGCAGGCAACAUCCUCCUCUGUGCUUUAAAUCAUCUCAAGAUUACUUAAUACAACAUAAAUGUAAUAGUAGAAGUGGUUGUAAAUACAAUGUAAAGACUAUGUCAAUGGUUGUUGAGCUUGCAGCAAAUUCAAUGUUUGCCUUUUGGAACUUGCUGGAAUUUUUCUCUGAAAAUUUUUGAUAGGUAGAUAGUUGAAUCUGCAAAUUUGGAACCAGUGCAUACAGGCAGCCCACUGUAUAUCCAAAGUUAGGUAACCUUCCAAAAAAUCAUUCCCAUUACUUAUAAAAUAUUUUAUUUGAAGGAGUUCCCCUUGUGGUUCUAUGGUAACAAACCUGACUAGUAUCCAUGAGGGUGCAGGUUUGAUCCCUGGCCUUGCUCAGUGGGUUAAGGACCCAGUGUUGUGAUGAGCUUCAGUGUAGGUCUCACACGUGGCUCGGAUCUGGCGUUGCUGUGGCUGUAAUGUAGGCUGGCAGCUGCCAGCUCCGAUCAACCCCUAGCUUGGAAAUUUCCAUAUGCCUCGGUGCAGCCCUGAAGAGACCAAAAAAAAAAAA
This 2898-nucleotide long non-coding RNA is filed under the name Sus scrofa (pig). Its description in RNAcentral is "lncRNA (ENSSSCG00030012769.1)". Lineage: Eukaryota; Metazoa; Chordata; Mammalia; Artiodactyla; Suidae. The record is from RNAcentral.